RNAcentral lists this transfer RNA (81 nucleotides) under Ipomoea nil (Japanese morning glory). It matches the Rfam family "tRNA". Rfam says of the family: Transfer RNA (tRNA) molecules are approximately 80 nucleotides in length. Their secondary structure includes four short double-helical elements and three loops (D, anti-codon, and T loops). Lineage: Eukaryota; Viridiplantae; Streptophyta; Magnoliopsida; Solanales; Convolvulaceae. The record is from Rfam by way of RNAcentral.
GUUACUUUGGCGAGUGGUUAAGGCGUGUGCCUGCUAAGUACAUGGGGUUUCCCCUGGAGAGUUCGAAUCUCUCAGGCAACG